Triplophysa rosa is the source of this 2076-nucleotide RNA transcript. RefSeq lists it as uncharacterized. The record is from RefSeq and is a predicted model, not a curated record. NCBI's taxonomy places the organism in Eukaryota, Metazoa, Chordata, Actinopteri, Cypriniformes, Nemacheilidae. The transcript is spliced from 5 exons.
UGACGUAACUGAAAUGAAUCCAGCAUGGAUCCUCCUGCUGUCCACUGCAUGCUUCUGGGGUUUAAAUUGGGUUUGCUUAGGGUAACGGACUGAAACUUUCAAACAAAUGAUUUAGUUAUAAUGUCCUUAAUAUUUAAGUUAGUUGCUUUUACUUAUUUAUUUAUGCGUAGUUGCGAAAUUUAUUAACUCAGAGACAGAGUUAAGUAUGACAUACUGGCAACAGAAGAUUUAACCUUUCAUAGAAAAGCGAAGUGAAGUUGUAAAAUAUGAGUGUAGAACGAUGUCCAUACUGUGGAAAGCCCUUCAAAAGGCUGAAAUCUCACCUUCCUCAUUGCAAAAUGGCACCAUUUGCACAACCCCUGAAAAGCACCCAAACACCCCAAGAUCUUCCCAAGAAUGCAAUCACUUCUAAACAGAAGAUCAAUAAAAAGAUAUUAACAGAGAAUAAUUAUUUAGUCUUUGAUGACAGGCAGACGUCCAACGACAGGAGGAAAGAGGAGUUGAUUGUAGAUAAAAUGUCUGUUCAUAAUGCAGAAAGUUCUAUAGCAACUACUGAAGUCACAGCAUUUGUGAAUACAGAGAGGCCUCAAAACAAAUGGUCUGCUAAAAGACAGAAGGAAUAUGAGAGAUUUCAGAAGUUGGCAGUCUUACAGAAGUCAAUCAACUAUACCUCAGUAUCAUCAGAUCAUGAAAGAGAUAAAAGCUUUCAUGAGAUAUCUAAUGGACAAGAAAAGGGAGCAUCUCAAACUAAUGGAACGCCUACUAAAGCCAAAAAGAAGCUAAAAGUGGCGCCAUUAUCAGAGCCUUUGUCCAUCGCCAAGAGCACAACCACAAUGCCAGCCAUUCCAAAAUCCACAAACCUUUCAUCCGAGUGGAGUUUGUGCUGCGAGAAUCCAAAAUGUACAGUCAUGGCGGAGAUGGAACCAAACAGCAAGAGCAGUGAUCUCAAUCUGGUGUCAAGAGUAAAAGAACUCAAAGCUCUGACUUUCUUUACAUCCAAGACUUCAGUGUGGGAUCACAUCAAAGGCAGCUUGUAUUAUAAGAGCGACCUGUGGAAGACGUGCAUAGUUCAAGAUUGCAAGGUGUCAGAAGUCUGGGAUGGAAUCCAGAGAUAAUGACAUCCUUUAGGAUCCUGUUCUCCUCUGAACCUUUCAGAAACUCCUCUGAUGAUAAUAUGUGGAAGAAGCAUCCGUUUUCUGGGCCAUCAUCCCAUAGUGAAGGUGAUGCUUGAUUUUCAAAGUAUGUGAUGAGUUUAGUAAACAAACAAUGCCUUGGGAAAAAACAAGAAUCAAUUUAACACUUUAGAGUCUUGCAGUAUUAUAAUGACUACCACAUUUUUUUAAUAGGCAAGCUAGUGUUUGCCAUUUUGAAAAGUAAAUCACUGUCCUACAAAACAUUUUAAGUGAGAUUAUUAGACGGUUAAUUGAAUAUGAUGAACCACGUACCAUUACCUUAGAUUUACAUUUGGCUACCAUGAAACUAUUAUGCACAGUCCUCAGGCUGAUAGUGAAAGAGCGACACUUGCAUCAGCUUGGCUGGACAAGGGCCAUUGGUCCAUUAGAGGUAAGGAAUGAUAUGUGUAACCAUUCAUCACCACCUCUCUUAAUCCCCAUUGUGGUUGUUCAAAGCAGUUCUCAUUACAUGUCUAAAAAUCUAAAAAGAAAACUUUCUAGUUGCAAUCCACAUGAAAGUAAAACCAGAUAUCAUUUUAAAUUGUGUUUAUGCUCAUAUAGUGCCACUAAUACAGCGGAAACUUGCAGAUGUGAGAUUAAAAGAAUUUGGUGUCUGGCUCGGAGACCAAAGUCCAAAGUCACCCAGAGAGUUUGGGACUGUGCUGAAGCAAGGUUGGCAGUGGUACUACACAAAGUACAUUGAUGUUCGUAGAGGAGGAAUCGGUGGGAUAUCUCUACUGUUAGCUGGCUACUGUGUCCUGUGUUACAUAUGGAGAUACCCAGAUCUCAAGAAAGAACGGUGGAGAAAAUACCAUUAAGGAUAUUUGGUGUUUGUUAAUAACGUGCCUUAGAAAUAAGUGUUAACAGAAGCUAGUUUCUUCUUCACUCCGAACUUGAAGUUUGC